UACGGGGGGGGCAAGCGUUGUUCGGAAUUACUGGGCGUAAAGGGCUCGUAGGCGGCCAACUAAGUCAGACGUGAAAUCCCUCGGCUUAACCGGGGAACUGCGUCUGAUACUGGAUGGCUUGAAUCCGGGAGAGGGAUGCGGAAUUCCAGGUGUAGCGGUGAAAUGCGUAGAUAUCUGGAGGAACACCGGUGGCGAAAGGCG
Molecule: ribosomal RNA, 201 nt
Filed under: uncultured bacterium
Lineage: Bacteria
Description: partial 16S ribosomal RNA
Rfam family: Bacterial small subunit ribosomal RNA
Source: RNAcentral